This 301-nucleotide ribosomal RNA is filed under the name uncultured bacterium. RNAcentral's name for it is "partial 16S ribosomal RNA". It matches the Rfam family "Bacterial small subunit ribosomal RNA", at positions 510 to 808 of the family's 1533-position model. The record is from RNAcentral.
CGCCGCCGCGGGAAAACGUAGGGUGCAAGCGUUAAUCGGAAUUACUGGGCGUAAAGCGUACGCAGGCGGUUAUAUAAGUCAGAUGUGAAAUCCCCGGGCUCAACCUGGGAACUGCAUUUGAGACUGUAUGGCUAGAGUGUGUCAGAGGGGGGUAGAAUUCCACGUGUAGCAGUGAAAUGCGUAGAUAUGUGGAGGAAUACCGAUGGCGAAGGCAGCCCCCUGGGAUAACACUGACGCUCAUGCACGAAAGCGUGGGGAGCAAACAGGAUUAGAUACCCGAGUAGUCCCUGUCUCUUAUACA